AAUCGUUUGAUCGAUGGAGUGACACAGUAAGGUAGGUCAGCACGCGAUUGGAAGUGCGUGUUUAAGCAGGUAGGUUGAGCUAUAGGUAAAUCCGUAGUUCUAAAAGCUGAGAUGUGAUGACGAGCGACUAGCAAUAGUCGCGAAGUGAUUGAUCCUACACUGUCGAGAAAAGCUUCUAGGUAGAGACACAUCGCCCGUACCAAAACCGACACAGGUAGGCGGGGAGAGAAUCCUAAGGUGCGCGGGAAAACCCUCGUUAAGGAACUCGGCAAAAUGCCUCCGUAACUUCGGGAAAAGGAGGACUCAUGUAGUGUGAAGAGCAGCAACGCAUGGAGCAUGAAUGAGUGGCACAAGAGAGGCGCAAGCGACUGUUUACCACAAACACAGGUGCCUGCUAAAGCGAAAGCUGAUGUAUAGGUGCUGACACCUGCCCGGUGCUGGAAGGUUAAGAGGAGGGGUUAGACUUCGGUCGAAGCUCUGAAUUGAAGCCCCAGUAAACGGCGGCCGUAACUAUAACGGUCCUAAGGUAGCGAAAUUCCUUGUCGGGUAAGUUCCGACCCGCACGAAAGGUGUAACGACUUGCGCACUGUCUCAACGAGGGACCCGGUGAAAUUGAAGUACCUGUGAAGAUGCAGGUUACCCGCGACUGGACAGAAAGACCCCAUGGAGCUUUACUGCAACCUAAGAUUGAACUUAGUUAAUGAAUGUACAGGAUAGGUGGGAGACGUAGAACCUAGGACGCUAGUUUUAGGGGAGUCGCUGUUGGGAUACCACCCUUUCAUUAAUUGAUUUCUAACGGGCCGAGUAACGACCGGCCGGACAGUCUUAGGCGGGCAGUUUGACUGGGGCGGUCGCCUCCAAAAGAGUAACGGAGGCGCCCAAAGGUUCCCUCAGAGCGGACGGAAAUCGCUCGAAGAGUGUAAAGGCAGAAGGGAGCUUGACUGCGAGACGGACAGGUCGAGCAGGGACGAAAGUCGGGCUUAGUGAUCCGGUGGUGCCGAGUGGAAGGGCCAUCGCUCAACGGAUAAAAGCUACCCUGGGGAUAACAGGCUAAUCUCUCCCAAGAGUCCAUAUCGACGGGGAGGUUUGGCACCUCGAUGUCGGCUCAUCACAUCCUGGGGCUGAAGUAGGUCCCAAGG
This 1139-nucleotide ribosomal RNA is filed under the name human gut metagenome. RNAcentral's name for it is "bacterial LSU rRNA". It matches the Rfam family "Bacterial large subunit ribosomal RNA", at positions 1451 to 2570 of the family's 2925-position model. The record is from RNAcentral.